Molecule: ribosomal RNA, 460 nt
Filed under: uncultured Arcobacter sp.
Lineage: Bacteria; Pseudomonadati; Campylobacterota; Epsilonproteobacteria; Campylobacterales; Arcobacteraceae
Description: bacterial SSU rRNA
Rfam family: Bacterial small subunit ribosomal RNA
Source: RNAcentral
ACAAGCGUGGAGCAUGUGGUUUAAUUUCGACGAUACGCGAAGAACCUUACCUGGCCUUGACAUACUAAAAAGCUUUAAGAGAUUAGAGUGUGCUAGCUUGCUAGAAUUUAGAUACAGGUGCUGCACGGCUGUCGUCAGCUCGUGUCGUGAGAUGUUGGGUUAAGUCCCGCAACGAGCGCAACCCUCGUGUUUAGUUGCUAACAGUUCGGCUGAGAACUCUAAACAGACUGCCUACGCAAGUAGGAGGAAGGUGAGGACGACGUCAAGUCAUCAUGGCCCUUACGGCCAGGGCUACACACGUGCUACAAUGGGGUAUACAAAGAGCAGCGAUACGGUGACGUGGAGCAAAUCUAGAAAAUGCCUCUCAGUUCGGAUUGUAGUCUGCAACUCGACUACAUGAAGUUGGAAUCGCUAGUAAUCGUAGAUCAGCAAUGCUACGGUGAAUACGUUCCCGGGUCUU